GACGAACGCUGGCGGCGUGCUUAACACAUGCAAGUCGAGCGGUAAGGCCCUUUCGGGGGUACGCGAGCGGCGAACGGGUGAGUAACACGUGGGUGACCUGCCCUCAGCUCUGGGAUAAGCCUGGGAAACCGGGUCUAAUACUGGAUAUGACUCCAUGACGCAUGUUGUGGGGUGGAAAGCCUUGUGCGGCUGAGGAUGGGCCCGCGGCCUAUCAGCUUGUUGGUGGGGUGANGGCCUACCAAGGCGACGACGGGUAGCCGGCCUGAGAGGGCGACCGGCCACACUGGGACUGAGACACGGCCCAGACUCCUACGGGAGGCAGCAGUGGGGAAUCUUGCGCAAUGGGCGAAAGCCUGACGCAGCGACGCCGCGUGAGGGAUGACGGCCU
Molecule: ribosomal RNA, 388 nt
Filed under: uncultured bacterium
Lineage: Bacteria
Description: bacterial SSU rRNA
Rfam family: Bacterial small subunit ribosomal RNA
Source: RNAcentral